Molecule: ribosomal RNA, 349 nt
Filed under: uncultured bacterium
Lineage: Bacteria
Description: bacterial SSU rRNA
Rfam family: Bacterial small subunit ribosomal RNA
Source: RNAcentral
AGAGUUUGAUCCUGGCUCAGGAUGAACGCUAGCUACAGGCUUAACACAUGCAAGUCGAGGGGCAGCAUGUUGGUUGCUUGCAACCAACGAUGGCGACCGGCGCACGGGUGAGUAACGCGUAUCCAACCUACCCUUGUCCAUCGGAUAACCCGUCGAAAGGCGGCCUAACACGAUAUGCGGUUCACAGCAGGCAUCUAACGUGAACGAAAUGUGAAGGAGAAGGAUGGGGAUGCGUCUGAUUAGCUUGUUGGCGGGGUAACGGCCCACCAAGGCUACGAUCAGGUAGGGGUUCUGAGAGGAACGGUCCCCACAUUGGAACUGAGACACGGUCCAAACUCCUACGGGAGCA